AGCUCCAAUAGCGUAUAUUAAAGUUGUUGCAGUUAAAAAGCUCGUAGUUGGAUUUCGGAGCAUUCACGAUGCUGACCGCUGAAACGGCGUGUUCGGCGCGUGGAUCUCCUCUUCUUGGGGAUUCAAGUGGGUGGCGGGUAAAACCGUCAUUCGCUCCCCAUCGUUUACUUUGAGAAAAUUGGAGUGCUCAAAGCAGGCACAACCCUGCCUUGAACAAUGCAGCAUGGGAUAAUAGAACAGGACGAAGGUCCUAUUUUGUUGGUUUCUAGGGCUUUUGUAAUGAUUAAAAGGGACAGUUGGGGGCAUUCGUAUUCAAUUGUCAGAGGUGAAAUUCUAGGAUUAAUUGAAGACGAACUACUGCGAAAGCAUUUGCCAAGGAUGUUUUCA
RNAcentral lists this ribosomal RNA (387 nucleotides) under uncultured eukaryote. RNAcentral describes it as "SSU rRNA". It matches the Rfam family "Eukaryotic small subunit ribosomal RNA", at positions 587 to 972 of the family's 1831-position model. The record is from RNAcentral.